This 253-nucleotide ribosomal RNA is filed under the name uncultured bacterium. RNAcentral describes it as "partial 16S ribosomal RNA". It matches the Rfam family "Bacterial small subunit ribosomal RNA", at positions 524 to 776 of the family's 1533-position model. The record is from RNAcentral.
UACGGGGGGGGCAAGCGUUGUUCGGAAUUACUGGGCGUAAAGGGCGCGUAGGCGGCUCACUAAGUUGGAUGUGAAAACUCUGGGCUUAACCCAGAGCCUGCAUCCAAAACUGGUGGGCUAGGGUGCUGGAGGGGAAAGCGGAAUUCCUGGUGUAGCGGUGAAAUGCGUAGAUAUCAGGAGGAACACCGGUGGCGAAGGCGGCUUUCUGGACAGUAACCGACGCUGAGGCGCGAAAGCUAGGGGAGCAAACAGG